CCUACGGGAGGCAGCAGUGAGGAAUAUUGGUCAAUGGCCGGAAGGCUGAACCAGCCAUGCCGCGUGAAGGUCAGUGCCCUAUGGGCGUUAAACUUCUUUUGUGCGGGAGCAAUAAUGGGCACGUGUGGCCAGACGAGAGUACCGUACGAAUAAGCAUCGGCUAACUCCGUGCCAGCAGCCGCGGUAAUACGGGGGAUGCAAGCGUUAUCCGGAAUUAUUGGGUUUAAAGGGUGCGUAGGCUGUGAGGUAAGUCAGCGGGGAAAUGCCCCCGCUCAACGGGGUGAAGUGCCUUUGAUACUGCAUUGCUGGAGUGCGGAUGCGGUAGGAGGAAUGUGUGGUGUAGCGGUGAAAUGCAUAGAUAUCAGGCAGAACACCGAUUGCGAAGGCAUCUCACGGAUCCGCGAUUGACGCUGAUGCACGAAAGCGUGGGUAUCAAACAGGAUUAGAUACCCUAGUAGUC
This 460-nucleotide ribosomal RNA is filed under the name uncultured bacterium. RNAcentral describes it as "partial 16S ribosomal RNA". It matches the Rfam family "Bacterial small subunit ribosomal RNA", at positions 338 to 795 of the family's 1533-position model. The record is from RNAcentral.